This 465-nucleotide ribosomal RNA is filed under the name Vreelandella stevensii. RNAcentral's name for it is "partial 16S ribosomal RNA". It matches the Rfam family "Bacterial small subunit ribosomal RNA", at positions 338 to 795 of the family's 1533-position model. The record is from RNAcentral. Lineage: Bacteria; Pseudomonadati; Pseudomonadota; Gammaproteobacteria; Oceanospirillales; Halomonadaceae.
CCUACGGGGUGCUGCAGUGGGGAAUAUUGGACAAUGGGCGAAAACCUGAUCCAGCCAUGCCGCGUGUGUGAAGAAGGCCUUCGGGUUGUAAAGCACUUUCAGUGGGGAAGAAAGCCUUGGGGCUAAUACCCUCGAGGAAGGACAUCACCCACAGAAGAAGCACCGGCUAACUCCGUGCCAGCAGCCGCGGUAAUACGGAGGGUGCGAGCGUUAAUCGGAAUUACUGGGCGUAAAGCGCGCGUAGGCGGUCUGAUAAGCCGGUUGUGAAAGCCCCGGGCUCAACCUGGGAACGGCAUCCGGAACUGUCAGGCUAGAGUGCAGGAGAGGAAGGUAGAAUUCCCGGUGUAGCGGUGAAAUGCGUAGAGAUCGGGAGGAAUACCAGUGGCGAAGGCGGCCUUCUGGACUGACACUGACGCUGAGGUGCGAAAGCGUGGGUAGCAAACAGGAUUAGAUACCCGGGUAGUC